AUUGAACGCUGGCGGCAUGCCUUACACAUGCAAGUCGAACGGUAACGGGCCUUCGGGUGCCGACGAGUGGGGAACGGGUGAGUAAUGCAUCGGAACGUACCUUUCAGUGGGGGAUAACGUAGCGAAAGUUACGCUAAUACCGCAUAUUCUGUGAGCAGGAAAGCAGGGGAUCGCAAGACCUUGCGCUGAUUGAGCGGCCGAUGUCAGAUUAGCUAGUUGGUGAGGUAAAGGCUCACCAAGGCGACGAUCUGUAGCGGGUCUGAGAGGAUGAUCCGCCACACUGGAACUGAGACACGGUCCAGACUCCUACGGGAGGCAGCAGUGGGGAAUUUUGGACAAUGGGGGCAACCCUGAUCCAGCCAUGCCGCGUGAGUGAAGAAGGCC
This 384-nucleotide ribosomal RNA is filed under the name uncultured bacterium. RNAcentral's name for it is "bacterial SSU rRNA". It matches the Rfam family "Bacterial small subunit ribosomal RNA", at positions 30 to 416 of the family's 1533-position model. The record is from RNAcentral.